GACGAACGCUGGCGGCGUGCUUAACACAUGCAAGUCGAACGGAAAGGCCCUGCUUUUGUGGGGUGCUCGAGUGGCGAACGGGUGAGUAACACGUGAGUAACCUGCCCUUGACUUUGGGAUAACUUCAGGAAACUGGGGCUAAUACCGGAUAGGAGCUCCUGCUGCAUGGUGGGGGUUGGAAAGUUUCGGCGGUUGGGGAUGGACUCGCGGCUUAUCAGCUUGUGGGUGGGGUAGUGGCUUACCAAGGCUUUGACGGGUAGCCGGCCUGAGAGGGUGACCGGCCACAUUGGGACUGAGAUACGGCCCAGACUCCUACGGGAGGCAGCAGUGGGGAAUAUUGCCCAAUGGGCGGAAGCCUGAUGCAGCAACGCCGCGUGCGGGAUGACGGCCUUCGGGUUGUAAACCGCUUUCGCCUGUGACGAAGCGUGAGUGACGGUAAUGGGUAAAGAAGCACCGGCUAACUACGUG
RNAcentral lists this ribosomal RNA (468 nucleotides) under uncultured bacterium. RNAcentral describes it as "partial 16S ribosomal RNA". It matches the Rfam family "Bacterial small subunit ribosomal RNA", at positions 28 to 507 of the family's 1533-position model. The record is from RNAcentral.